UUUGAUGUUCGUAUUUGGAUAGUAAAUACGUCCGAGGCCGCACGCUCCGUCUAAACAAUAAUAAAUCAAUGCACAAAAACAAUAUAAAGCAAAACAGUUAACUUUAUCAGCGCAUAAAUCACAGUGUUUCACACUCCAAAUGUAUUUUCACAUUAGCAGAGAGAGCGCUGCGUUGGUGCACUUCAAGGACAUAAAUUAGGUCACAAACUUAACAUCUAUGUUUAAAUUGAAAGGAAUUUUUGAUGCAUAAUUUAACUAAAUCAAAUCGAAUCAACAAGUUCACGGCAUGCAUUUGGUCUAUUGUCGCGCUGGUACCUUGGACAACAGCGGAACUGGACUGCAGGAUGGCUUGCAAGCACUGCAGAAUCAAACAGACUCCUAAAGAGUUACUGGAAGUAUACUGUGCCAUGUGCAACGAAUGCAAUGAAAAGAAGACCGAGAGAGGAAAACCGUUGUCGAAGCGAAGGAACUGGUACAGUAUGCCUCCAGAUUGUGAGCCGCUUGACAAUAAUUCGGAACCUGAAAUGCCAAAUUGCGACAACGAACCAGAAUCGGGAAAGUACGUAACUCAACCAGCAUUGCCCCCGUGCGAAUAUGUACCGCAAAUGCCGCCGUGCGAAUAUGUACCAUAUAUGCCGCCGUGCGAAUACGUACCACAAAUGCCGCCAUGCGUAACUGAAACCAUAGUAGAGCUGAAGAAAACAACAACAAGUACAACAACGACUACGACAACGACUACGACAACGACAACGACAACGACAACACCUCCGCCGCCUCCAAGGUGUCGCCCUCCGCAGUGCCGGCCGGCCCGACCUUGCUACUGCAUGCCCUUCAUGCCCAUGUCGUGGUGCCCCUGCCCGACCCAGUACCAACAACCGACUGAACCAACCAACGGACCAAUACCCCUCACACAGACCAUGCCGAAAACAUCGCAGUCACCAGUUAAUAAAGAUUAUUCAUAUGUGUAUGUGGGUGUACCCAAAGCUUUGUUAAAUUAAAAGUACGAAUAGACAUCCUUGUUUAUUAAAGCGAAAUCGCAUGUAAUUUUUAUAUUAUAAGUUAUAUACAGUGUGGCGCAUAAUGGCGACAUUAAAAUAUGAAUACACAGGUAGAGUUAUUGAAAUUUUCAAAUUUUCAAACAAAAAAAUUAUAUAUUUAGGAAACAAAAUUUUAAUCACCCUUACGUGGUCGCAUUAUAAUGGCACGAAGGUGUCAGUACCUACGCUAGCGCGCGGCUACUAGAUUUCUUACAGGUUGUUCCGAAAUGAUAUUUGAUGUUUCUUAUUUUUAAAUAUAUUUUUAUGGUUACGUUUAAGAAGUUCUACCCGCAUGUUUAUUUAAUAUAGCUAUUGUAGCGCCACGCUGUUUAAUAUUUAAUCGAUGCAUAUAAAUAAACAGAACUUAUACCAAAAAGUACUUUUUUAUCGUC
This is a long non-coding RNA of Leptidea sinapis, 1429 nucleotides long. RefSeq lists it as uncharacterized. The transcript is spliced from 3 exons. The record is from RefSeq and is a predicted model, not a curated record. NCBI's taxonomy places the organism in Eukaryota, Metazoa, Arthropoda, Insecta, Lepidoptera, Pieridae.